This 429-nucleotide ribosomal RNA is filed under the name Acidobacteriota bacterium. RNAcentral's name for it is "Acidobacteria bacterium partial 16S ribosomal RNA". It matches the Rfam family "Bacterial small subunit ribosomal RNA", at positions 355 to 776 of the family's 1533-position model. The record is from RNAcentral. Lineage: Bacteria; Pseudomonadati; Acidobacteriota.
UGGGGAAUUUUGGACAAUGGGGGAAACCCUGAUCCAGCCAUCCCGCGUGUGCGAUGAAGGCCUUCGGGUUGUAAAGCACUUUUGGCAGGAAAGAAACGUCAUGGGUUAAUACCCCGUGAAACUGACGGUACCUGCAGAAUAAGCACCGGCUAACUACGUGCCAGCAGCCGCGGUAAUACGUAGGGUGCAAGCGUUAAUCGGAAUUACUGGGCGUAAAGCGUGCGCAGGUGGUUCGGAAAGAAAGAUGUGAAAUCCCAGAGCUCAACUUUGGAACUGCAUUUUUAACUACCGGGCUAGAGUGUGUCAGAGGGAGGUGGAAUUCCGCGUGUGGCAGUGAAAUGCGUAGAUAUGCGGAGGAACACCGAUGGCGAAGGCAGCCUCCUGGGAUAACACUGACGCUCAUGCACGAAAGCGUGGGGAGCAAACAGG